CUGCUCCUUCCUUCCGCUUUCCGUUGCUUUCACUGAGCUUGAAGCCCACUCGAACGACGAAGCCGUUCAGUGAAGGAAAACAAAAGGACGAGAUGUCGAGCGCAGGUCGGCUGUCGGGGGCGUGCCUCAAAUGCUUGCUGGUGACCUUCGCCGUCACCUCAGCGCUGUGCGUCUCCGGCCCCGCCCUCUACUGGCGCUUCAAGAAAGGCUUCGCCACCGCCCGAUCUCUCUCUACCUCCUCCACCCUUCCCGGAUGCGCCCCUUGCAUCUGCGAUUGCCCGCCGCCGCUCUCUCUCGACGCCGUCGCACCUGGAUUGUUGAACCUCUCUGUGACAGAUUGUGGGAAAAAUGAUCCUGAGCUCAGCAAGGAGAUGGAGAAGCAGUUUGUGGAUCUCCUCACAGAGGAAGUGAAGCUACAAGAGGCUGUUGCUGAGGAGCAUGCUCAUCACAUGAAUGCAAGCCUUCUCGACGCCAAGAAAUCAGCGUCUCAGUACCAGAAAGAGGCUCAGAAGUGCAUUGCGGCAACUGAGAUAUGUGAGGAGGCUAGAGAACGAGCUGAGGCAUCCCUGAGGAAGGAAAAGAAGACAACAGCUCUUUGGGAACGACGAGCCCGUCAACUAGGGUGGCAAGCUGCAUGAGCCAAGUUUUCAGUAACUGCUCCAGAACAUCGCUCGGUGACAGUAACUGCAUAAAGCGGACUAUUUAGAAUCAAAAUAUCAAAAUAUCAAAAUUUGCAAAAUGUAGAGUUCAAUCAGAUUCAGUUAACUAACAUGAAGACUUGUUAUUUGUUGUGUAUUUGAUUAGUUAUUAGUUGGAUUUGGACGUGUGUUAUCUUUACAAGGAACAGGAAGAAAUCUCCUAAUCAUUAUUAAGCCGGUCGGACUCUGGCGGUUUAUUUUCCUUGGCCUCGAAUUAAACCGGGCGUAGGCGUUAGAGGUUGGCGGAGUUACCAACUCCAUCGGUUCGGCCAUCGAUUUCAACUCUCCGUGAUAGAAGUUCUCGUCCCGGAAACGCGAAGCAACCUUCGUUCUCGCUUACCCUCGCCGCUUCGAUCAACGCGUCGAUCUUGCCGUCGAUCUCUGGUGAGCGGGCAUGGAGGCGUCCUCAUGGGACGCCCUUAGGAAACAGAACAAUUAGGUGCACAAAGCUCCCGUCAGUGCAAGUCCAUAGAAGGGUCGGACUACAUUGGGUCUAUUGUACCCAAUACAAAAAACAACACUGCCAUAUGCAAAAACAAAAAAAAAAAGGAAGAAGAAAAAGAAGAAAAUGGAAAAAUGAUAACAAACUAUGUACCAAGGGAAAAAAAGGUGUGUAUGUCAAACCAUUGUCUAUUGAUGCUUUAUUUGAUAUAUAUGUUGAUCUUGUAUUUUUAAACAAUUGACUUUGUUUGAUGGAUAUGUAUAUCUUGUAUUGUCGUUAUUAGAUGCUCAAUGCAAGAUGUAGAUGGUAACCAAAGAAAUUUUAUUUGAUGAUUUAUUCUUUGCAUAGAGCUCAAUGCAAGGAUAAAAUUUAUGGAGCAAACGCCAUUAGUUAGGUUUACAACGGUUUUCUGUAGUUGUGACUAAGGGCAUCCACAGUGGUUAGAGCCUAUUGAGAGCUCUUUCGUUGUCAUAUCUACGCCACAUCAAAAGUUAAAAACCUCACACCCC
This is an RNA transcript of Zingiber officinale, 1649 nucleotides long. RefSeq lists it as uncharacterized. The transcript is spliced from 5 exons. NCBI's taxonomy places the organism in Eukaryota, Viridiplantae, Streptophyta, Magnoliopsida, Zingiberales, Zingiberaceae. The record is from RefSeq and is a predicted model, not a curated record.